RNAcentral lists this ribosomal RNA (796 nucleotides) under uncultured archaeon. Its description in RNAcentral is "bacterial SSU rRNA". It matches the Rfam family "Archaeal small subunit ribosomal RNA", at positions 85 to 879 of the family's 1478-position model. The record is from RNAcentral. RNAcentral also lists the same sequence under 1 other name.
ACGGCUCAGUAACACGUGGAUAACCUGCCCUUGGGUCCGGCAUAACCCCGGGAAACUGGGGAUAAUUCCGGAUAACGCAUAUGUGCUGGAAUGCUUUAUGCGUAAAAUGGAUUCGUCCGCCCAAGGAUGGGUCUGCGGCCUAUCAGGUAGUAGUGGGUGUAAUGUACCUACUAGCCGACAACGGGUACGGGUUGUGAGAGCAAGAGCCCGGAGAUGGAUUCUGAGACAUGAAUCCAGGCCCUACGGGGCGCAGCAGGCGCGAAAACUUUACAAUGCGGGAAACCGUGAUAAGGGGACACCGAGUGUCAGCAUCAUAUGCUGGCUGUCCAGGUGUGUAAAAUACACCUGUUAGCAAGGGCCGGGCAAGACCGGUGCCAGCCGCCGCGGUAACACCGGCGGCCCGAGUGGUGAUCGUGAUUAUUGGGUCUAAAGGGUCCGUAGCCGGUUUGGUCAGUCCUCCGGGAAAUCUGAUAGCUCAACUAUUAGGCUAUCGGGGGAUACUACCAGACUUGGAACCGGGAGAGGUAAGAGGUACUACAGGGGUAGGAGUGAAAUCUUGUAAUCCCUGUGGGACCACCUGUGGCGAAGGCGUCUUACCAGAACGGGUUCGACGGUGAGGGACGAAAGCUGGGGGCACGAACCGGAUUAGAUACCCGGGUAGUCCCAGCCGUAAACGAUGCUCGCUAGGUGUCAGGCAUGGCGCGACCGUGUCUGGUGCCGCAGGGAAGCCGUGAAGCGAGCCACCUGGGAAGUACGGCCGCAAGGCUGAAACUUAAAGGAAUUGGCGGGGGAGCAC